UUGGUUUCGUGGAUGAUCGCUCCAAGGUCAGAUUUCGAUCUCGGCCGAGGGGAGGAAAGUCCGGACUCCACAGGACAGCGCAAAGGAUAACGUCCUUCCGGUGUAAACCGAGGAACAGUGGAACAGAGAGAAUGUCCAGGGCCUUGAGCUCACGACCGGGAACGGGAGGUCGUGAAGGAGCCGCUGGAGUGAAAACAGCUAAACUCUGCGCGGAGCAAGAUCAAAUAGGAAAGCGUUCGAGCCCGGUCCGGGCGAAGCUUUCGGGUAGCAUCGCUUGAGGGCGGGGGUAACUCCGCUCCCAGACAAAUGAUCGUCAAAGGUUUUCGGGCAUUUUUUGGGACCUGGAAACCCGAACAGAAUCCGGCUUACAGCGAAACCAUGAUC
RNAcentral lists this RNase P RNA (384 nucleotides) under Pseudobdellovibrionaceae bacterium. RNAcentral describes it as "Bdellovibrionaceae bacterium (activated sludge metagenome) RNase P RNA component class A". It matches the Rfam family "Bacterial RNase P class A". Rfam says of the family: Ribonuclease P (RNase P) is a ubiquitous endoribonuclease, found in archaea, bacteria and eukarya as well as chloroplasts and mitochondria. Its best characterised activity is the generation of mature 5'-ends of tRNAs by cleaving the 5'-leader elements of precursor-tRNAs. Cellular RNase Ps are ribonucleoproteins. The record is from RNAcentral. Lineage: Bacteria; Pseudomonadati; Bdellovibrionota; Bdellovibrionia; Bdellovibrionales; Pseudobdellovibrionaceae.